RNAcentral lists this ribosomal RNA (497 nucleotides) under uncultured bacterium. Its description in RNAcentral is "partial 16S ribosomal RNA". It matches the Rfam family "Bacterial small subunit ribosomal RNA", at positions 28 to 507 of the family's 1533-position model. The record is from RNAcentral.
GAUGAACGCUGGCGGCGUGCCUAACACAUGCAAGUCGAGCGAACAGACGAGGAGCUUGCUCCUCUGACGUUAGCGGCGGACGGGUGAGUAACACGUGGAUAACCUACCUAUAAUACUGGGAUAAUUUCGGGAAACCGGAUCUAAUACCGGAUAAUAUAUUGCACCGUAUGGUUCAAUAGUGAAAGACGGUUUUGCUGUCACUUAUAGAUGGAUCCGCGCCGCAUUAGCUAGUUGGUAAGGUAACGGCUUACCAAGGCAACGAUGCGUAGCCGAACUGAGAGGGUGAUCGGCCACACUGGAACUGAGACACGGUCCAGACUCCUACGGGAGGCAGCAGUAGGGAAUCUUCCGCAAUGGGCGAAAGCUUGACGGAGCAAGGCCGCGUGAGUGAUGAAGGUCUUCGGAUCGUAAAACUCUGUUAUUAGGGAAGAACAGAUGUGUAAGUAACUAUGCACGUCUUGACGGUACCUAAUCAGAAAGCCACGGCUAACUACGUG